GUUUAUUGCAACCUGUAAAGUUUCUGUUACUGGUAUAAACAGAUUAAGGUUGAUUAAAGUAACACUUUCUAAUUUCAGAAGGUCUACGGCUAAUCUUUCCUUUCACAGAUAUACAUCGCGUUUGCGUUGUGCGGUAGAGUGUAUUGUGGGCUCGCGGCGUAGAAAAAAAAAUCUGUACGUUCGAACGGAUUUCGAACUUGGGAGCGCUAGUUUGCAGAUAUGUUUUGUCCGUUUUGAGGGACAGCCCUGGAAAGAAAGCCGUUGUUUUGCCCGGAGUGUGGCAGGUCUUUGGAAUGUCUAUCUCACAUAGAGGAUAGCGAAACAACAGAUCACAAUUUUGGUUGGAGCUUUUAGAAGACCUUAAGGAAUAUGGCCAUUUUAAUGGUAGUCGUGAGCAUAAAUGUUUGCUGCGCUUUGCAUUUCUUGCUGUUCUUCAGAAAGAUUUGAAUGAGGCGAAGAUGCUCUGGAACCAACACAGAAUGAGACCUUCAAGAAUGUCAUCCUGUCCAUCAGGAAUUCCAAAUGAGUUAUUCAGUUUACCACACUGGUUUCAAGCAAGAGAUUGUAGAUAUGUACUGAACCUGAAUUGUCUUCGGGAUCUAUCACCUUACUGUGAAGAAACUUCCAUGUGUGGAGAUCUGGCCAUCCAGGAAUACUUAACAUUAAUAAAACAGCAAAAUAAUCUUCAGACACCAAAUA
Polypterus senegalus (gray bichir) is the source of this 699-nucleotide long non-coding RNA. RefSeq lists it as uncharacterized. The record is from RefSeq and is a predicted model, not a curated record. The transcript is spliced from 4 exons. NCBI's taxonomy places the organism in Eukaryota, Metazoa, Chordata, Cladistia, Polypteriformes, Polypteridae.